Molecule: ribosomal RNA, 301 nt
Filed under: uncultured bacterium
Lineage: Bacteria
Description: partial 16S ribosomal RNA
Rfam family: Bacterial small subunit ribosomal RNA
Source: RNAcentral
CAGUCGCCGCGGGAAUACGUAGGUGGCAAGCGUUGUCCGGAAUUAUUGGGCGUAAAGGGCUCGCAGGCGGUUUCUUAAGUCUGAUGUGAAAGCCCCCGGCUCAACCGGGGAGGGUCAUUGGAAACUGGGAGACUUGAGUGCAGAAGAGGAGAGUGGAAUUCCACGUGUAGCGGUGAAAUGCGUAGAGAUGUGGAGGAACACCAGUGGCGAAGGCGACUCUCUGGUCUGUAACUGACGCUGAGGAGCGAAAGCGUGGGGAGCGAACAGGAUUAGAUACCCCUGUAGUCCCUGUCUCUUAUAA